This is a long non-coding RNA of Phyllostomus discolor (pale spear-nosed bat), 327 nucleotides long. RefSeq lists it as uncharacterized. Lineage: Eukaryota; Metazoa; Chordata; Mammalia; Chiroptera; Phyllostomidae. The record is from RefSeq and is a predicted model, not a curated record. The transcript is spliced from 2 exons.
CGUGACCCGGCGCUGGUUGUUCCUGCAACUUGGUGCUGGUGAUCCCAGAAGCUAGAAGUUGGCGGUGCAGAGGGGAGAGUUCGGUUCUGCCGCUGCGACGCGCGCCGGUGCCACGUCUUCCCGUUUUGCGGAAGGGGCUUGGGACACGUGGUGGGAAGGUCGCGUUCGGCGUAAGGCCCGGCCCUUGGCUCGUGAAAAGGUGUUUCAAUGCAGGACCCUGAGUGAGGGACUAGUGUGACAUGAAUGUAUUGAGGUGUCAGGGAUGCAUGUGGACAAGAUGGGAAGCUAGGAGACACCAGUGGACGAGCCGUACGAAUGACUGACUUC